AACGAACGCUGGCGGCAUGCCUAACACAUGCAAGUCGAACGAGACCUUCGGGUCUAGUGGCGCACGGGUGCGUAACGCGUGGGAACCUGCCCUUAGGUUCGGAAUAACUCCCCGAAAGGGGUGCUAAUACCGGAUAAUGUCUUCGGACCAAAGAUUUCUCGCCUUUGGAUGGGCACGCGUUGGAUUCGCUAGUUGGUAGGGUAAAAGCCUACCAAGGCGACGAUCCAUAGCUGGUCUGAGAGGAAGGUCAGCCACACUGGGACUGAGACACGGCCCAGACUCCUACGGGAGGCAGCAGUGGGGAAUAUUGGACAAUGGGCGAAAGCCUGAUCCAGCAAUGCCGCGUGAGUGAUGAAGGCCUUAGGGUUGUAAAGCUCUUUUACCCGGGAUGAUAAUGACAGUACCGGGAGAAUAAGCUCCGGCUAACUCCGUG
RNAcentral lists this ribosomal RNA (433 nucleotides) under uncultured bacterium. RNAcentral's name for it is "partial 16S ribosomal RNA". It matches the Rfam family "Bacterial small subunit ribosomal RNA", at positions 29 to 507 of the family's 1533-position model. The record is from RNAcentral.